This 77-nucleotide small nucleolar RNA is filed under the name Brassica oleracea var. oleracea. RNAcentral describes it as "snoRNA Plant_U3". Lineage: Eukaryota; Viridiplantae; Streptophyta; Magnoliopsida; Brassicales; Brassicaceae. The record is from RNAcentral.
ACGACCUUACUUGAACAGGAUCUGUUCUAUAGGUUCGUACCUCUGGUUGCUCAAAAAAAAAAAAAAAAAAGAACUCU